CCUCCGCGCCCGCCCGCCCGCCACCGACCCGUGGUACGGCACCACCGCCCGACCCGCUCCACCCGACCCGACACUGGUGCUCCCUGCCGCAGCCAGGGUGAUGGGGACUUACCCCACAACACUGCAGGUGCAGGUGUUGAGCCUCACCACCCACUUAGGAUGUAUGGUAGUGAAGUGUGACGUGUCCAGUGCUCGCGUGAUUAUAGUGUGAAACAAGUGGUAGUGAUCGGCCAGCCGGAGGACUCAGCCACUAAAGGAUAUGUAUGUGGAGGAAGUGGAGUGUGUAAAAGACUCCACCCACACCUUCCACCCGUGUAGUGACCACCGUCCACGACCACCACCCACACCACCCACUCACCCACCCACCCCUACAACGCCCACUGCAAGACCACCCCAACAUUCAUCAUUCACUAAGGUUGGUGUGCUUGUUGGUCAGCCGGGCCAGGACGCCAGCUGGCUCUGUCAAGAUUCUCGUCUGAACUCCAGCACCUAACUAAAAAAAAUUUCAACACAAGAAAGAAAAUGGAAUACAAAGAAAACGCAAUGUUAGAAAAUUAUUAAAAAAAACGGGGGAAGGGCAGAAAUUGUAUUAUGUAUUAUAUAACAAAGGGCGGUGUUGUGCUUUGUGCUGUGUGGUGGUGAAAUGGUGCAUCAGGGAAUUAAAAGUUACCGCGUAAGGAUGGAAUCGUAACUGCUGCUGCUGCUGCCUGGCUUCGUCUACCUGUUGGGAACACUAAUGGUGACACGACACUACGGCACUACACGACACUACGGCACUACACGACACUACGGCACCACACGACGGAUGCCGUGACUCUGGGGGAAACAAGAGGAUAACAAAGGAGGAAACAAGCAGACUCAACUGUCCUGAACAAAGCGGCCGUCACAACAAAAGGGUGUGAGGGACCACUGGCCACCAAGUGCUGUCAACUACUAGUGCCUGGUGUGUGUGUGUGUGUGUGUGGAGGAGGUGCGUGAAGGAAGCAGCUGUAGGACGGACUAUAGGAGCCACGUUAAGGAAAGGACAGACAGCGAGAGGGGUCUUCACGCUGCCCUACACUGCUGAUUGUGGUUGUUGAUCACCAGAAGACGCAGAUGACACACCCCUGAAGAGGAAUACAGCAGUAAGGAGGAAGUGUUGUGCAAGUUUUAUAAGAUGGAUCUUUCACCAGUGAUCACAAUGAUAAGUGCUUUUUACUAUUCGUUCUGUUAGUGUUAAGGUAGUUAGUGUACUGUGACCGGUAUCAUUGUUAUGUUUAGGUCACAUUAUUUUUCUUUCAUUACACAAUUUAGCAACGGAGACUAGAAACCAAAUUAAAAGGGUACUAAAAUGACUUCUACCUUAGUGAGAACGGUAAUAUUGGCAUUUAUUCACCUGUAUAAGUGAACAGGUUUUCCAGACAUACAUAUAUAUACAUACCCACCCACAUCCCCACCCCUGUACAUAAUUUACAUUGGAAGGGGUAUGGCGAUUUAUUGUUGUGAGUUUCCAAGAUCUAUAUUUGUGUCAUAAUAGGGAAAUAAUUAAGGCCUGGCUAGUCAUGGCUAUUUUGGGACCACAGUACAGUAUUCUUCAUUCAGUAAUACAGUACAUGGUCAUGCUGUCUGCUGAAGGAAUUAAAAGGUUAUAAAAGAAGUUUAGUGUUUAUCUAAUAAGUGUUAAAUGGUUGUAUGCAUUGUGAUGAUGCAGUUUGUGCCUCUUUUAAUGUGAUCGCUGUUAGAAAUAAUGAUGGUCAAAACAAAGUAACAGACAGACCAACCACUCUAAAGGCUAUUUCAGCUGAUAAAUGGUGAAAGGGUAAAUAAAUAAAAUAAUUCGAUAAGGGUCAUAAUUCUUUUGAAAGUAGGUAUACAACAGCAAAUAUUAAACAGGUCAUGUUUUUACUUGGUAAUAUGAUCCAUGAAAAUUAAAGUUGCAGUGUGUGUAAAUAUUCUGUAAUUAAUGACAGGACAUCCUUAACGCCCCUGCACUGGGCUACGGUGGGCAUACCCCCCCCCCCCCUCACCUACACACACACACACAGGGAUACUGUAUUUGGAAAUUUUUGAAAAAAUUAAUCAUUCAAACUGGUCCUAUAUGAUAUAUAAACAUUAAAUAAAUGCAUGUAUUUACCACAGGUUGGCAUCAUAGGGGCUAGGAAGAGUUUUGUUGCCGAGUUGAGAAGCUGCAUGAAGUACAGUAUACUGUAUUGUGUGAGGCAGUGGGGUAAGGCGGGCAGUGAGAGGUGCACAACACCAAUAUGUAGGUAGUAUGAGGUACCUAGCAUUUGUUUUAUUAUGCUUUUAUUCUUUUCACUGUGUACAAUCAUUAUUACUGCCUCCAGUAUUGAUCACAAAUGUGAUGAAGCAUCCCGAUGGCACUGUGGAUAGCGGCUUAGGCUUAGAUAGAAACACUAUUUAUGUUCUUAAUCAUGCCAACGGGGUCAUUAGGCAAUGUGCUGUCAGUAUCAUGUCCAUAAUUCCCAGACAACUGUAUAGAAAGCAAACAUUCCUCUGGUUCCCUUCUGGGAGGAAGAGGAUACAGUUUAGAGGUAGUGUGGCUCUUGGAGGUAAACCUAAUUAUGCUGACAAAAAGUCAUAGUGAAUCGCAUCUACUGUAGAACUACAGCAUUACCACUAUGUAUUUCUGGGAAUUUGUGAUGCAUUGAUGUAGUGAGAAAUCUAUGUACUGUAGUAUCUAAACUUAAAAUGUUGAAAAGAUUCAAUAUAUUUUUCACAAGCUGUAUUGAAAUUCCAGGACACCAAAAUUUUUCAUGCUCAUUCAGUGUUGAUGAGAAGUAAUGUUUUCUAUGAAUUACCUUCCUGUUUCACUUUCUGUAAUGACUUUGGGUUACUUAUUCAAGACCAAACUAUGGUUUUUAAUACUCUGAAGGCAAUUUGUUUAAUGAAGUCAUGGUAGUGGUUUCCCCAUUAUUGACAUCUCUUUUCUUUGUUCCCACAGCUGAAGGAUGACAUUGCAUAAGACUGAAGUGACCAGGUGUAUGCCCACUCUACUAGAAAGCCUGUCCUCCAUUCCCUGAGACCCUUUCUUGUGAAGGAAGGAGUUCACAAGCAAGGUGCUCAGGCAUGGAUGGCAGUGCUACUUCACCAAUGGGCCCUCAUUACUAUGAAUAAUUGUGUCCUCAAGUUCCCUGCAAGAUGGAACGUCAUUUCAAGAGGACAAUACCACCACACAACACCCACCACAGUGCUUCAUCAUGGAAGAGGAUAUAAGAAGACUAGGAAAUAGGGGUAUCGGUAAUUAAGUCAUUUGCAGGAACAAUUUAAAGUACAGUACAGUACUGUAAUUCAAAGUGUGUUGAAUUUAUCAAUUUGGCCAGUAGUUACCGGUAGUCCAAAAUGAAAACCUUGACCACAAUUGAUUAUUUUCACUGCUGUACUACUAAAUUCGCUCAAGAGUGUUACAUAUAUUUAAUAUGUUCAGUAUAUCAUCUCGCUAUUCUAAUGGAAUGACAAAGUUUUGAUACUUUAGGUGUGUCAGACUUAUAGAAUAUGUACAAAAAUUCUCCAUGCUCUUUUGAUAUUGUAAACAGUCAUUCUGUUACAUAGUUACUCAUUAUAAAACUAUUGUAGCUAUUAUCAAGAGAGGUAAUUAUUGUUGUGGGUAUGGAAUGUUAAUUUAAUUUAAUCAUGGAUACACUUAUCUUAUAACCGAUGUUGCUACUUCAGUGAUUUAAGUUUUGCUCCUUUGGGAUAUAGGAUAUGAUUAAGCUAAUCCUAAUUUAGGUAGUUUAUUAAUAGGCCGAGCCAAUAGCCUACAUGCAGAAAGUUUUGUUGCUUAGGUGUUGAACAAUAAAACAGCAUUACUUCAUUUAUUGAGAUAGGAAACCUUGUACUCUCUCACCUCCAACAGACUAUGCACUGUGCAGGUGCUCACCGUUUGUAUCAUGUGUGACAUUUACCACAUUCAGAACCAGAAUUAUAUGGACAGUCAAGUAUUUAUCACCGUACAUACUAACUUGAGCAUUUCCACAUUGAUGUCUUAGUAGUAAAGGCCGGAGCAUUUGAGUUGAAUUUUGUAGUUUGUUGGUUUGGUUCUUUAGUAAGUAAAACUAUUGGAAGCUAUACCGUAUAUACUAUAGGAAAUGAUUGAUAAAGUAACAUAAUUAACCAGGGUUCUCAAACUGUACCUGUAAUAUUGUUGCCUAUUUUUUAAUGAGCGCUACUCACAUAAGUCCUAAGUCAUUAUAGUAAAUACAUAGAAUAUACAAAGGUAGAUUAAGUGUCUAAAACUGCUUAUCUGGCACCAGGUUUAGUGAUGGUGUAUUUCCUCUCUGUGGUGGUGCCUGUUACCUCUUAGUUUAUAAAGAGAGUAUAUUACUGUAUUCUACUUCGUAUUUCUCUGAGAACCUUGGUUGUUUAUGAUUCAGCUUCUGUCAACUGCAUAUACGUAGUACAUUUGUUAGUCUUUAAUGCACUACAGUAUAGUUAUUAGUAUUAGCCCCUUCACUAUGGGGACAUAUUUUUCAGUAUUUUAUGUGGCUAAUGCCAGAUAACUUUAUUUAGCUAAGAAAUGUCCCCAUACAUAAGGGGUUAAUGUUAACAAAAAUAGAAUUAAGAUAUACUGUACUGUGGUUGUGUAAGACAAGUUCAUAUGAUAAUAAUAAUAUUGUCUGAAUUUCA
Molecule: long non-coding RNA, 4623 nt
Filed under: Homarus americanus (American lobster)
Lineage: Eukaryota; Metazoa; Arthropoda; Malacostraca; Decapoda; Nephropidae
Description: uncharacterized LOC121855283, transcript variant X3
Source: RNAcentral